GUGGGCGCAAGCCUGAUCUAGGGAUGCCGUGUGGGUGAAGAAGGCCGUAGGGUCGUAAAGCUCUUUCGCCAGGGAUGAUAAUGACAUUACGUGGUAAAGAAGUUCCGGCUAAAUCCGUGCCAGCAGCCGCGGUAAUACGGAGGGAACUAGCGUUGUUCGGAAUUACUGGGCGUAAAGCGCACGUAGGCGGAUCAGAAAGUAAGAGGUGAAAUCCCAGGGCUCAACCCUGGAACUGCCUUUUAAACUCCUAGUCUUGAGUUCGAGAGAGGUGAGUGGAAUUCCAAGUGUAGAGGUGAAAUUCGUAGAUAUUUGGAGGAACACCAGUGGCGAAGGCGGCUCACUGGCUCGAUACUGACGCUGAGGUGCGAAAGCGUGGGGAGCGAACAGGAUUAGAUACCCUGGUAGUCCACGCCGUA
Molecule: ribosomal RNA, 416 nt
Filed under: uncultured marine bacterium
Lineage: Bacteria
Description: bacterial SSU rRNA
Rfam family: Bacterial small subunit ribosomal RNA
Source: RNAcentral